This 433-nucleotide ribosomal RNA is filed under the name uncultured bacterium. Its description in RNAcentral is "partial 16S ribosomal RNA". It matches the Rfam family "Bacterial small subunit ribosomal RNA", at positions 29 to 507 of the family's 1533-position model. The record is from RNAcentral.
AGCGAACGCUGGCGGCAGGCCUAACACAUGCAAGUCGAACGAACUCUUCGGAGUUAGUGGCGGACGGGUGAGUAACACGUGGGAACGUGCCCUUUGGUACGGAAUAACUCAGGGAAACUUGAGCUAAUACCGUAUGUGCCCUUCGGGGGAAAGAUUUAUCGCCAUUGGAGCGGCCCGCGUCUGAUUAGCUAGUUGGUGAGGUAAAGGCUCACCAAGGCUACGAUCAGUAGCUGGUCUGAGAGGAUGAUCAGCCACAUUGGGACUGAGACACGGCCCAAACUCCUACGGGAUGCAGCAGUGGGGAAUCUUGCGCAAUGGGCGAAAGCCUGACGCAGCCAUGCCGCGUGAAUGAUGAAGGUCUUAGGAUUGUAAAAUUCUUUCACCGGGGACGAUAAUGACGGUACCCGGAGAAGAAGCCCCGGCUAACUUCGUG